CCCAGAUUCAGCUCCGUUCCUCAAAGAGCAUGCAGUCUUGCGCAUGGAUAACUAUGGCACUUCAUAGUUAGGGCCUGGGGCCCCCACGAAGGCUGAGAGCCACCCUUUCACAUUUAAGAGGCUGAGAUGCUGUGUCUCCCUGACUAGAGCAGCCUCAGGUUGGGGUGAGUGGAAGUCAUAACGCCACAGAAAUGUCACAGCCAAGGGAGGGACCUGUGGGCUCUUCUCCUUUCACUAUUGGCCAUGGCUAAACUGUGGAGCUUCUAAAUUCACACACGCCACCAGACACUGGGAACGUCCUGACGGGCAUAGAAGAGGAGUACAACAACACUCAGAUGUGGCCCUGGCCUGAGCUGCCCCCCGCUGCUCUUCUGUGUCUCAGUCAAGCCGAGCAGACCUCAGCAGGGGAGCGAGAAGCUGAGAGAAAUCUCCUUAAUGAGUUGAUCACAAGAAUGGAUGCUUUGGUGUCAAUAUUAUGCCCACUAGAAGCUCUAGAGGAACUCAAGAGAAGCUAAAUUCCUUGAUAAAGCUGGGCAUCAUGGGAAGAAAAGACACUCUCUGAGAGACAAGAUGAGAAGGUCUGCCAAGAAGUUUCUCCCAUGAUUGGCGGGAGACCCUGACUCCCUGAUGAAAAGAAGUGAGGGAGAGCCCAGCCUUGGAAGAAGAGAGUGAGGCACCGUGAUCCCAGAUCUGUUUAUUUUUAAGGAAACAAGACAAAAUAAAACAAAACCCCUGAAAGAAUCUAUGUGCCUG
RNAcentral lists this long non-coding RNA (753 nucleotides) under Felis catus (domestic cat). Its description in RNAcentral is "lncRNA (ENSFCAG00000044844.2)". The record is from RNAcentral. Lineage: Eukaryota; Metazoa; Chordata; Mammalia; Carnivora; Felidae.